RNAcentral lists this ribosomal RNA (236 nucleotides) under uncultured bacterium. RNAcentral describes it as "partial 16S ribosomal RNA". It matches the Rfam family "Bacterial small subunit ribosomal RNA", at positions 15 to 248 of the family's 1533-position model. The record is from RNAcentral.
GAUAUGGCUCAGGAUGAACGCUAGCGACAGGCUUAACACAUGCAAGUCGAGGGGCAUCAUGAGGUAGCAAUACCUUGAUGGCGACCGGCGCACGGGUGAGUAACGCGUAUGCAACCUGCCUGAUACCGGGGUAUAGCCCAUGGAAACGUGGAUUAACACCCCAUAGUACUUUUAUCCUGCAUGGGAUGUGAGUUAAAUGUUCAAGGUAUCGGAUGGGCAUGCGUCCUAUUAGUUAG